AACGAACGCUGGCGGCAGGCUUAACACAUGCCAGUCGAACGCCCCGCAAGGGGAGUGGCAGACGGGUGAGUAACGCGUGGGAACAUACCCUUUUCUACGGAAUAGCUCUGGGAAACUGGAAUUAAUACCGUAUACGCCCUACGGGGGAAAGAUUUAUCGGGGAAGGAUUGGCCCGCGUUGGGUUAGCUAGUUGGUGGGGUAAAGGCCUACCAAGGCGACGAUCCAUAGCUGGUCUGAGAGGAUGAUCAGCCACAUUGGGACUGAGACACGGCCCAAACUCCUACGGGAGGCAGCAGUGGGGAAUAUUGGACAAUGGGCGCAAGCCUGAUCCAGCCAUGCCGCGUGAGUGAUGAAGGCCUUAGGGUUGUAAAGCUCUUUCACCGAUGAAGAUAAUGACGGUAGUCGGAGAAGAAGCCCCGGCUAACUUCGUG
RNAcentral lists this ribosomal RNA (431 nucleotides) under uncultured bacterium. RNAcentral's name for it is "partial 16S ribosomal RNA". It matches the Rfam family "Bacterial small subunit ribosomal RNA", at positions 29 to 507 of the family's 1533-position model. The record is from RNAcentral.